RNAcentral lists this ribosomal RNA (292 nucleotides) under Triticum aestivum (bread wheat). RNAcentral's name for it is "partial small subunit ribosomal RNA". The record is from RNAcentral. Lineage: Eukaryota; Viridiplantae; Streptophyta; Magnoliopsida; Poales; Poaceae.
GUGGGCUUGGGGACGACUUGCCGGAGCCGGAGUUGACCAGUUCAAGGUCGGCAGUGGUGGAUGACUUCGAGGAAGAAGAAGCCGAGGCAACGGCUUAGGGAGGUCCCCGCUCGUGUGCGUCGUCGUGGCGGUCGAGGAAGUCGAGGCGCAGGCCCUGGGCAUCUCCGAGCGAGACGAGGUGGCUCCAGAGCAUGCGUAUAGAGGGUCAUGGCGAUGGCGGUUGGCGUCGAGGCGCCUGGUUCGGCCCGAUCCAGAUCGGAUCGGGAGGGGAGAGGAGUGGGGAGUGGGGAAC